RNAcentral lists this ribosomal RNA (904 nucleotides) under uncultured bacterium. RNAcentral's name for it is "bacterial SSU rRNA". It matches the Rfam family "Bacterial small subunit ribosomal RNA", at positions 33 to 916 of the family's 1533-position model. The record is from RNAcentral.
ACGCUGGCGGCGUGCCUAAUACAUGCAAGUCGAACGAGAAGCGACCGGUGCUUGCACUGGUCAAUCUAGUGGCGAAUGGGUGAGUAACACGUGGGUAACCUGCCCAUCAGAGGGGGAUAACAUUCGGAAACGGAUGCUAAAACCGCAUAGGUUCUUGAGUCGCAUGACCCGAGAAGGAAAAGAGGCUUCGGCUUCUGCUGAUGGAUGGACCCGCGGUGCAUUAGCUAGUUGGUGAGGUAACGGCUCACCAAGGCCGUGAUGCAUAGCCGACCUGAGAGGGUGAUCGGCCACAUUGGGACUGAGACACGGCCCAAACUCCUACGGGAGGCAGCAGUAGGGAAUCUUCCGCAAUGGACGCAAGUCUGACGGAGCAACGCCGCGUGAGUGAAGAAGGAUUUCGGUUCGUAAAACUCUGUUGUUAGAGAAGAACAGCGCAUAGAGUAACUGUUAUGCGUGUGACGGUAUCUAACCAGAGAGCCACGGCUAACUACGUGCCAGCAGCCGCGGUAAUACGUAGGUGGCAAGCGUUGUCCGGAUUUAUUGGGCGUAAAGCGAGCGCAGGCGGUCAAUUAAGUCUGAUGUGAAAGCCCCCGGCUCAACCGGGGAGGGUCAUUGGAAACUGGUUGACUUGAGUGCAGAAGAGGAGAGUGGAAUUCCAUGUGUAGCGGUGAAAUGCGUAGAUAUAUGGAGGAACACCAGUGGCGAAGGCGACUCUCUGGUCUGUAACUGACGCUGAGGCUCGAAAGCGUGGGUAGCAAACAGGAUUAGAUACCCUGGUAGUCCACGCCGUAAACGAUGAGUGCUAAGUGUUGGAGGGUUUCCGCCCUUCAGUGCUGCAGUUAACGCAUUAAGCACUCCGCCUGGGGAGUACGACCGCAAGGUUGAAACUCAAAGGAAUUGACGG